RNAcentral lists this ribosomal RNA (279 nucleotides) under uncultured bacterium. RNAcentral describes it as "partial 16S ribosomal RNA". It matches the Rfam family "Bacterial small subunit ribosomal RNA", at positions 506 to 784 of the family's 1533-position model. The record is from RNAcentral.
UGCCAGCCGCCGCGGUAAUACGGAGGGUCCAAGCGUUGUCCGGAUUUAUUGGGUUUAAAGGGUGCGUAGGCGGAACUUUAAGUCAGUGGUGAAAUCUUGCCGCUUAACGGUAAAAUUGCCAUUGAAACUGAAGUUCUUGAAUGUAGUUGAGGUAGGCGGAAUGUGUUGUGUAGCGGUGAAAUGCAUAGAUAUGACACAGAGCGCCAAUUGCGAAGGCAGCUUACUAAGCUAUAACUGACGCUGAGGCACGAAAGCGUGGGGAGCGAACAGGAUUAGAUA